Macadamia integrifolia is the source of this 2320-nucleotide long non-coding RNA. RefSeq lists it as uncharacterized. Lineage: Eukaryota; Viridiplantae; Streptophyta; Magnoliopsida; Proteales; Proteaceae. The record is from RefSeq and is a predicted model, not a curated record. The transcript is spliced from 3 exons.
AAAAAUCAGCCACGAAAGCUACCAUUUCUCUUCUUCUUCUUCUUAUAGGUUUGUGUGGAUAAAAAUGGGGUUUCGUUUACAUGUCAGGAUAGGUGGAAAAGUGGCUGGCAACCAUUGGAGUGUGCUUCAGAAGGGAUUGAGAUUUCUAGAAAAGUGCAUGAUAUCACAAUUCGCGAUCCUAGUUCAUGGCCAGAAUCGCCUGAACCCUAGUAAAACUGUAAAAGCCCUUUAAUCUCAACUCGAUUAACGGUUUGUGGGAAAAAAGAAAGUUGGGAAAAGCAUUGGCGAUUCUCAGGGGCCAACCAAUACAGCUUGAAAAUCCAUAUCCAUAUAACGUUACCCUUAUCCACCACUCACUGGUACAUGACAAGUAAUGAACCCUACAUAUUUCACCCACCUUGGGAACAUUAGUGUUUCCCUAUUUUGUGAAAAAACCUCAUGGUUGUGUUCUAAAUUGAAUUAAGGGCUUUAGUUUCAUUACCACCAAGCUUGUGAAGCCAUAAAAGCUUGCAUUGAAUGUUGGAGAAUCUUCAUUCAAGCAAGGGGAAUGAUGAUUGAGGCACACUGAAGCCAAGAGCGCAUGUAUGUGAAAAAGAGAGAAGCAGCACAUUGAGCUCGGGUUUUUUAAGAACACACCUUUGACUCACUUGGAUGCAUUGAAAAGUUGUAACUCAUACUCACCAAGCUUGAGGUAGUUGUUGGUGGUAGCAUUGAAGGUCUAAUAAUGGUUGUUGAGGCAUAUUAAUAGCAGAAAGACUGUUUAUUUUGAAUGUGUAUGGUCAACCUUUGGGAGUGACAAGAAUUCCGGAAAAAAAUCCUCUGUUUUCCUCAUCCCUUCAUCCCCUUCCAGCGGCGUCUCUUCUUCUCUGCAACUUCCCUUUCUUCGGAUCAUGGUUGUGAAGCAGCAAACCUCCCCCAUUCUCUUUCAUAGACAAAACCCACAAUAAUCCCUGUUCUGUUCUCUCCUGUUCUGCUCGGUUCUGCAGAUUUCAAACGAGCUAGACACAAUGUGUGUAGAUCGAAUGGCGGCAACUAAAAUGAAGUUAAAGCUUCUGGUUGACAAGAAAAGAAACAAAGUCCUGUUCGCGGAAGCAGGAAAGGAGUUGGUGGAUUUCCUAUUCAGCCUCUUGACCUUGCCUUUAGGCACCACAGCGAGACUCCUAACUCCAACUCAAAUCACGACUGGAUGCAUCGGCAAUCUCUAUUCCAGCGUAGAAAAUCUGGACAACAGUUACAUCCAACCAAACGCCAAUAAGUCCCUGCUUUUGCAGCCCGAGAUUGGUUCUGGCGGAAAUCAAAUGCCAAUGCUACUUUUGCAGAGCAGCGGCAAAGGUAAUGGCAAUGGCAACUCUUCGCAGAGUAAACCGAUCUAUUAUAGGUGUGAUCGGCUUGAUUGUGGGAUGCGUUGUGGGGGUAGUACAUGUUAUGGUGUAGUUACAAAGUCUUGUAGGGAUUAUGUAACCAAUACGCAGGGGGCUUAGUGUGGUUGCUGUGGGAAGAAGAUGAUGUCUCCGAUGUAUUUUGUUGAGGGCCAAGGCUCGACAGGGGCCAAUGGUGGUGGUGGUGGUUCCGCUGUUGGGGAAGGAACAGGGGGUGGAGGGUAUGCGAAGGACGUGGCGACUUACAUGGUUACUGAUGAUUUGGAGGUGAAGCAAAUCUCUGGUAUUGCCAGUUUUAAUAGGUAUGAUUUUAAGGAUUUCGGUGACUUGGAGGAUAAGGCCGUUCAUUUGGGUAUGAAAGAGUCAAAGUCGGUUCUUGCGGAUGUCUUCCUUAACAAGGGAUUUGGACCAUCUUCUUCUUCACCAAUCAAGACUUACCUAACACGUUCAACAAAAAGAAAACUUAGCCCAACAGAGUGACUUGUGUCUUCAGGCAAAUUACUUGUUGACAAGAAUGAAGAAAACGAGGAAAAUCAACUAAAAGGUGGACUUGGUAUGGAGUAAUGGAAAGGUAAUCAGAAUGUUUUUUGAAAGGAACUAUGGACCUGUGCUAACUUUUUGGCCUAGGACUUUAAUACCACUAUGUUUAGAAAUAGAUAACCAUCCAACUUACCCCAAUUUUUGUGUUAAAACUAACAUUAGGCAUUUGGUGGUGCACAAAUCCAUAUAGCCAAUGAGACUAAAAAAAAAUAACAAUCGGUUUAUCUGUCGGAUAUGAUGUAUAUAUAAUGUUACAAUAGUUAAUAUAUCUUUCUCUUAUUUUUAAAAAGAAAAAAAUUUCUCUCUCAGGGCCGGAGAGGAUGAACUAAAUAGAUUAAGGGUACUGGAUUGGUUCCUGGAAGUAGUUACCUGUUGCAGUGAGAAUAAAAAAUAAGCAGUCU